UUGGUUAAGUUAGAAAGGGCGCACGGUGGAUGCCUUGGCACUAGGAGCCGAAGAAGGACGGGACUAACACCGAUAUGCUUUGGGGAGCUGUACGUAAGCGUUGAUCCAGAGAUUUCCGAAUGGGGGAACCCACUAUCUUUAGUCGGAUAGUAUCCUUACGUGAAUACAUAGCGUGAGGAAGGCAGACCCAGGGAACUGAAACAUCUAAGUACCUGGAGGAAGAGAAAGAAAAAUCGAUUUCCUGAGUAGCGGCGAGCGAAACGGAAAGAGCCCAAACCAAGAAGCUUGCUUCUUGGGGUUGUAGGACACUCUAUACGGAGUUACAAAAGAAAGUUAUAAAUGAAGCGGUCUGGAAAGGCCCGCCAAAGACGGUAACAGCCCGGUAGUUGAAAUGGCUUUCCCUCCAGAGUGGAUCCUGAGUACGGCGGAACACGUGAAAUUCCGUCGGAAUCCGGGAGGACCAUCUCCCAAGGCUAAAUACUCCCUAGUGACCGAUAGUGAACCAGUACCGUGAGGGAAAGGUGAAAAGCACCCCGGAAGGGGAGUGAAACAGUUCCUGAAACCGUGUGCCUACAAGUAGUUAGAGCCCGUUAAUGGGUGAUAGCGUGCCUUUUGUAGAAUGAACCGGCGAGUUACGAUUUGUUGCAAGGUUAAGCGGAAAAAGCGGAGCCGUAGCGAAAGCGAGUCUGAAUAGGGCGCAUAAGUAACAGGUCGUAGACCCGAAACCAGGUGAUCUACCCAUGUCCAGGAUGAAGGUAAGGUAAUACUUACUGGAGGUCCGAACCCACGCACGUUGAAAAGUGCGGGGAUGAGGUGUGGGUAGCGGAGAAAUUCCAAUCGAACUUGGAGAUAGCUGGUUCUCUCCGAAAUAGCUUUAGGGCUAGCCUCGAGGUAAAGAGUCAUGGAGGUAGAGCACUGUUUGGACUAGGGGCCCUUCUCGGGUUACCGAAUUCAGAUAAACUCCGAAUGCCAUGUACUUAUACUCGGGAGUCAGACUGCGAGUGAUAAGAUCCGUAGUCGAAAGGGAAACAGCCCAGACCACCAGUUAAGGUCCCCAAAUAUAUGUUAAGUGGAAAAGGAUGUGGGGUUGCUUAGACAACCAGGAUGUUGGCUUAGAAGCAGCCACCAUUGAAAGAGUGCGUAAUAGCUCACUGGUCGAGUGACCCCGCGCCGAAAAUGUACCGGGGCUAAACAUAUUACCGAAACUGUGGAUGAACCUCUUUAGAGGUUCGUGGUAGGAGAGCGUUCUAAGGGCGGUGAAGUCAGACCGGAAGGACUGGUGGAGCGCUUAGAAGUGAGAAUGCCGGUAUGAGUAGCGAAAGAAGGGUGAGAAUCCCUUCCACCGAAUAUCUAAGGUUUCCUGAGGAAGGCUCGUCCGCUCAGGGUUAGUCGGGACCUAAGCCGAGGCCGAUAGGCGUAGGCGAUGGACAACAGGUAGAGAUUCCUGUACCAGUGCUAAUUGUUUAACCGAUGGGGUGACACAGAAGGAUAGGGAAUCGCACGAAUGGAAAUGUGCGUCCAAGCAGUGAGUGUGAGAAGUAGGCAAAUCCGCUUCUCGCGAAGCAUGAGCUGUGAUGGGGAAGGAAAUUAAGUACGGAAGUUCCUGAUUUCACGCUGUCAAGAAAAGCCUCUAGGAAGAGUAGUACUGCCCGUACCGCAAACCGACACAGGUAGAUGAGGAGAGAAUCCUAAGGUGAGCGAGAGAACUCUCGUUAAGGAACUCGGCAAAAUGACCCCGUAACUUCGGGAGAAGGGGUGCUCUAUUAGGGUGCAAGCCCGAGAGAGCCGCAGUGAAUAGGCCCAGGCGACUGUUUAGCAAAAACACAGGUCUCUGCAAAACCGUAAGGUGACGUAUAGGGGCUGACGCCUGCCCGGUGCUGGAAGGUUAAGAGGAGUGCUUAGCUUCGGCGAAGGUACGAAUUGAAGCCCCAGUAAACGGCGGCCGUAACUAUAACGGUCCUAAGGUAGCGAAAUUCCUUGUCGGGUAAGUUCCGACCCGCACGAAAGGCGCAACGAUCUGGGCACUGUCUCAACGAGAGACUCGGUGAAAUUAUAGUACCUGUGAAGAUGCAGGUUACCCGCGACAGGACGGAAAGACCCCGUGGAGCUUUACUGCAACCUGAUAUGGAAUGUUUGUACCGCUUGUACAGGAUAGGUAGGAGCCGAAGAGACGUGUGCGCUAGCAUACGAGGAGGCAAUGGUGGGAUACUACCCUGGCUGUAUGACCAUUCUAACCCGCCACGCUUAGCGCGUGGGGAGACAGUGUCAGGUGGGCAGUUUGACUGGGGCGGUCGCCUCCUAAAGAGUAACGGAGGCGCCCAAAGGUUCCCUCAGAAUGGAUGGAAA
This 2346-nucleotide ribosomal RNA is filed under the name Listeria monocytogenes. Its description in RNAcentral is "partial 23S ribosomal RNA". It matches the Rfam family "Bacterial large subunit ribosomal RNA", at positions 1 to 2337 of the family's 2925-position model. The record is from RNAcentral. Lineage: Bacteria; Bacillati; Bacillota; Bacilli; Caryophanales; Listeriaceae.